Cavia aperea (Brazilian guinea pig) is the source of this 100-nucleotide unclassified non-coding RNA. Its record names the gene Vault. It matches the Rfam family "Vault RNA". From Rfam's summary of the family: This family of RNAs are found as part of the enigmatic vault ribonucleoprotein complex. The complex consists of a major vault protein (MVP), two minor vault proteins (VPARP and TEP1), and several small untranslated RNA molecules. It has been suggested that the vault complex is involved in drug resistance. The record is from Ensembl. Lineage: Eukaryota; Metazoa; Chordata; Mammalia; Rodentia; Caviidae.
GGGCUGGCUUUAGCCCAGCGGUUCCUUCGAGUCUGGCUUCCCAACCGCCUGGGCUGAUUGUUCCGGUGGUUCGUGACCGCGGGCGCUCUCCAUUCCUUUA